AGUGAACGCUGGCGGUAGGCCUAACACAUGCAAGUCGAACGGCAGCACAGUAAGAGCUUGCUCUUACGGGUGGCGAGUGGCGGACGGGUGAGGAAUACAUCGGAAUCUACUUUUUCGUGGGGGAUAACGUAGGGAAACUUACGCUAAUACCGCAUACGACCUACGGGUGAAAGCAGGGGAUCUUCUGACCUUGCGCGGUUGAAUGAGCCGAUGUCGGAUUAGCUAGUUGGCGGGGUAAAGGCCCACCAAGUCGACGAUCCGUAGCUGGUCUGAGAGGAUGAUCAGCCACACUGGAACUGAGACACGGUCCAGACUCCUACGGGAGGCAGCAGUGGGGAAUAUUGGACAAUGGGCGCAAGCCUGAUCCAGCCAUACCGCGUGGGUGAAGAAGGCCUUCGGGUUGUAAAGCCCUUUUGUUGGGAAAGAAAAGCAGCAGGUUAAUACCCCGCUGUUCUGACGGUACCCAAAGAAUAAGCACCGGCUAACUUCGUG
RNAcentral lists this ribosomal RNA (492 nucleotides) under uncultured bacterium. RNAcentral describes it as "partial 16S ribosomal RNA". It matches the Rfam family "Bacterial small subunit ribosomal RNA", at positions 29 to 507 of the family's 1533-position model. The record is from RNAcentral.